Molecule: ribosomal RNA, 253 nt
Filed under: uncultured bacterium
Lineage: Bacteria
Description: partial 16S ribosomal RNA
Rfam family: Bacterial small subunit ribosomal RNA
Source: RNAcentral
UACGUAGGGGGCAAGCGUUGUCCGGAAUUAUUGGGCGUAAAGAGCUCGUAGGCGGUUUGUCGCGUCUGCUGUGAAAACUCGAGGCUCAACCUCGGGCUUGCAGUGGGUACGGGCAGACUAGAGUGCGGUAGGGGUGACUGGAAUUCCUGGUGUAGCGGUGAAAUGCGUAGAUAUCACUUGGAACGCCGACGGUGAAAACAGUCUGCUGGGGGUUUGCUGACGCUGAGACACGAAAGCCAGGGGAGCGAACGGG